GAUGAACGCUGGCGGCGUGCCUAAUACAUGCAAGUCGAGCGAACAGACGAGGAGCUUGCUCCUUUGACGUUAGCGGCGGACGGGUGAGUAACACGUGGGUAACCUACCUAUAAGACUGGGAUAACUUCGGGAAACCGGAGCUAAUACCGGAUAAUAUUUCGAACCGCAUGGUUCGAUAGUGAAAGAUGGCUUUGCUGUCACUUAUAGAUGGAUCCGCGCCGCAUUAGCUAGUUGGUAAGGUAACGGCUUACCAAGGCAACGAUACGUAGCCGACCUGAGAGGGUGAUCCGCCACACUGGAACCGAGACACGGUCCAGACUCCUACGGGAGGCAGGAGUAGGGAAUCUUCCCCAAUGGGCGAAAGGCUGACGGAGCAACGCCGGCGGAGUGAAGAAGGUCUUCGGAUCGUAAAACCCUUUUAAUUGGGAAGAACAAAAGUUGAAGUAACUUUGGACGUCUUGACGGUACCUAAACAAAAAGCCACGGCUAACUUCGUG
Molecule: ribosomal RNA, 497 nt
Filed under: uncultured bacterium
Lineage: Bacteria
Description: partial 16S ribosomal RNA
Rfam family: Bacterial small subunit ribosomal RNA
Source: RNAcentral